This 813-nucleotide long non-coding RNA is filed under the name Homo sapiens (human). Its description in RNAcentral is "CDKN2B and CDKN2A antisense cis and trans regulatory RNA 1". Lineage: Eukaryota; Metazoa; Chordata; Mammalia; Primates; Hominidae. The record is from RNAcentral.
CUCUUGUAUGAGUCACAUCUCUGUUGGUUGUAAGUGGCUGAAACUCAUCUUGAACUACCAAGAUUGGCUUCUCUCACAUGGCAAGAAACAUUGCUGCUAGCACUUCCCGAGUUCUACGUUCUACAACAUCCACCACUGGAUCUUAACAUAGACGUAAGAUCAAAUGCAAUAGCAUGUCAAACAAUGUGUAACUCCAGUUAUACAAACAUUACUGUAUCUCAUUGGGGAUACGAAGCUCUACACACUUGAAGAUGGUGAAGGAAUAUAAAAAUCUAUGUCUCACAGUCCAGACUUGGAGUACAAGUAAUAAGAAGAAUAAAACUUAAUCCCUUAAGUAGAUUCACCAUAAGUUAGCUCAGAGCAAUUCCAGUGCAAGUAUGGUCUGUGAUCCAGUAGUAUCUUACAGACAGCAAGUUGAACAUUGUGGGAUGCAUGAGCUAUUGAGGCCUUUGCAGCUUUCUGCUACAUGGAGGCUAGGGCCAGAGUCAAGAUUUAUGCUUUGCAGCACACUGGUCAGCUGUUUUUGCAAAUCAGAUUAAAUGAUUUUUAAAUGAGGCUGAGAGCAUGGGAGAUACUAAUGUGUGUUUCCUUGUGAGCUACUGCAUAAGUUAGGAAAUUGAAAUACAGAAAGAUGAAAAGUGAUUUGCCCAAGCAUAUAGAUCAAAGCUGUGGCAGAACCAGGACUGGAACCUAUAUCUCUCUACUAAUGGUUUUUUUAAAAAAAUAACCUUGUUUCAAAAAUAUUAAAAAGUCACAAGAAAGGUAAACAUGUGGAUAAACAAAAUGAAGAAAAUAAAAAUUAUCCAGUAAUAA